RNAcentral lists this ribosomal RNA (446 nucleotides) under Bacillus sp. (in: firmicutes). RNAcentral's name for it is "bacterial SSU rRNA". It matches the Rfam family "Bacterial small subunit ribosomal RNA", at positions 355 to 796 of the family's 1533-position model. The record is from RNAcentral. Lineage: Bacteria; Bacillati; Bacillota; Bacilli; Caryophanales; Bacillaceae.
AAGGUUAGGCUACGCUUCUGUCGAGUCUGAUGGAGCACGCCGCGUGAGCGAUGAAGGCCUUCGGGUCGUAAAGCUCUGUUGUUAGGGAAGAACAAGUACCGGAGUAACUGCCGGUACCUUGACGGUACCUAACCAGAAAGCCACGGCUAACUACGUGCCAGCAGCCGCGGUAAUACGUAGGUGGCAAGCGUUGUCCGGAAUUAUUGGGCGUAAAGCGCGCGCAGGCGGUCCUUUAAGUCUGAUGUGAAAGCCCACGGCUCAACCGUGGAGGGUCAUUGGAAACUGGGGGACUUGAGUGCAGAAGAGGAAAGCGGAAUUCCACGUGUAGCGGUGAAAUGCGUAGAGAUGUGGAGGAACACCAGUGGCGAAGGCGGCUUUCUGGUCUGUAACUGACGCUGAGGCGCGAAAGCGUGGGGAGCAAACAGGAUUAGAUACCCCGGUAGUCA